CAACAGCUCUAAGAAUGUCAUCGAUCAUCGAUUUUGUUUUGGGAUGCGCGAUGCGCGCGGAUGAAGGACUGACCACCAUUGAAAGAAAUAUCUUGUCCUUUGUGGAUGUGUUAGAGACAAUAAGGAGAUCUCGUAACCCCCCAAGACAGAAAAGACAAUCAAAUAAGAACAAGAUGAAACACCACCGCCAGGGAGAUUAGUGUGGGUGUGGCCGCGCUGGUGUGGGUGACAACAUCAACUGCUGCCUAAUCCUAGUCAGUGGGGGGGAGUGCAGUUAUACUGAG
This is a long non-coding RNA of Pseudophryne corroboree (corroboree frog), 284 nucleotides long. RefSeq lists it as uncharacterized. The transcript is spliced from 4 exons. The record is from RefSeq and is a predicted model, not a curated record. NCBI's taxonomy places the organism in Eukaryota, Metazoa, Chordata, Amphibia, Anura, Myobatrachidae.